Molecule: transfer RNA, 75 nt
Filed under: Candidatus Liptonbacteria bacterium GWC1_60_9
Lineage: Bacteria; Candidatus Liptoniibacteriota
Also listed under: 2 other names
Description: tRNA-Lys
Rfam family: tRNA
About the family: Transfer RNA (tRNA) molecules are approximately 80 nucleotides in length. Their secondary structure includes four short double-helical elements and three loops (D, anti-codon, and T loops).
Source: RNAcentral
GCGCCCAUAGCUCAAUGGUAGAGCAGCUGCCUUUUAAGCAGUUGGUUCCAGGUUCGAAUCCUGGUGGGCGCACCG